This is a long non-coding RNA of Papaver somniferum (opium poppy), 1532 nucleotides long. RefSeq lists it as uncharacterized. NCBI's taxonomy places the organism in Eukaryota, Viridiplantae, Streptophyta, Magnoliopsida, Ranunculales, Papaveraceae. The record is from RefSeq and is a predicted model, not a curated record. The transcript has 2 exons.
UCUCUUCCUUCGUCAACAUAUCACCAGCGCCGUCAUCAUCGUACCCAGUACCAAGACCACCACCACCACCGUCGCAGCAGCACAAACCACUGCUCUAAUCCCCUCGGUGUUCUAUAAUUUUUCCGCUGCAAAUUUUCGAUCUCUACUCCAAGCUUCGACACCAUUAAUCAUUCCUUCACCACAACACCAUCAACACCAUCGUAACCAGCAACGUCAACCACCACCAGCACCAGCAUUAAGUACCGUCAAAUACUUAACAAGCAACAUCAACCACCGUCAAAUACCGUCAUUCAUCUCUACCUAAUCAUUACACACCAUCACCACCACCACCAUAACCAGCAACACCAUUAGCACCACUAUAACCAGCACUACCAUCAUAACCCCCACCACCAUUACCAAAACCGGCAAAACCAUCAGCGCCACCGUAACCAGGUACAUUAUUUUCUUUUUCAAUUUCAAAUUCAAAUCCAAUUUUAUCAAUUCCAAAUAAAAGAAUAAUUUUAGAUUCGCAUCACCGUUUUGGUUUUUGUAAUAUUUAUUGAUUUGAAAUUGGUUAUAAGAAAUUGUCAUGGGAAGAGAUGAAAGAAAAAAACAAGAAGGGUCUUUGUUUCAAUUGUGAUGCACCGUUUAAAUCUGGCCAUAUUUGUCCUAAUAAGCCGGGUUACUUGCUUUUAGAGAUGGAUCCUAAUUCUCCUUAAGGCAUCACUGAGAUUGAGCAUACCAUUGAAGACCAACAAGUGAGUGACGAUAUUCCUAUUUUUGAAUCAACCCCUGUGAAUGAUGUGGAUUUGAACUUACAUGUUAGAUACCACACACUCAAGCUGCUUAAGUCUCACCUAUCUGAUGCACAUGAUCGAAUGAAGAAAUACACUGAUUCUCAUAGAACUGAACGAUAAUUUUCAGUUCAUGAUUUUGUUUAUCUCCGUCUCCAACCUUACAGACAGAUAACAGUUGCUAAUCAGUCUUUUUCGAAGCACCUCGUUUUUAUGGCCCUUUUAAAGUUCUUGAGAAAAUUGGAAUUAUGGCAUAUAAACUGAAUAUGGCUAUCACUAGUAGAAUACAUCCAGUAUUCCAUGUUUCACAGUUAAAACUGAAGUUAUGUCCUACUGCUGUUGUUGAAGCUACAUUACCUACCAUUAUUGACUACGACAAAUGAGAACCAGAAGAAAUUUUAGAGAGGCAGAUGUAUAAGAAAGGAAACCGAGCUGCUACAAAGUGGUUGAUCAAAUGGAAGGAUCACUCCAAAGAUUGGGAAGAUGCUUAUGAUCUCAUUGCACGCUUUCCAUAGUUAUAGGCUCGAGGACAAGCCUUGUUUUAGGCGGGGUGGGAUUUUGCGAUGCCAACUCAUACUUCUUUUAUUUCAGUUAGCUUAUUAGCUUAGUAUUUAAUUUCUUUAUGUGCUUAUUAUCAUCAGUUUCCUAAUUUACAGGUUUCCUUAAAUUAAUUUGCUUUCUUAUCAAGUUUAUUCAGCUAUAUAUAGGUCGAGUCUAAGCUUGUAACAAACUACCUAUCAAUAUUAAGAAGUUUAUUCA